RNAcentral lists this ribosomal RNA (521 nucleotides) under uncultured bacterium. Its description in RNAcentral is "bacterial SSU rRNA". It matches the Rfam family "Bacterial small subunit ribosomal RNA", at positions 28 to 531 of the family's 1533-position model. The record is from RNAcentral.
GACGAACGCUGGCGGCGUGCCUAAUGCAUGCAAGUCGAGCGGGCUACGAUCUUCGGAUUGUAGCUUAGCGGCGAACGGGUGAGUAACACGUAGGUAAUCUACCCUUCAGAGGAGGACAACCUCAGGAAACUGAGGCUAAACCUUCAUACGUUCACUGGUAGGGAUACUGGUGAAGAAAGAGUUACCUUAAAGGUAGCUGCUGAAGGAUGAGUCUGCGGCCCAUCAGGUAGUUGGUGAGGUAACGGCUCACCAAGCCGAUGACGGGUAGCCGGCCUGAGAGGGUGACCGGCCCGAGGGGCACUGAGAUACGGGUCCCACUCCUACGGGAGGCAGCAGGCUAGAAAUUUGGGCAAUGGGGGAAACCCUGACCCAGUGACGCCGCGUGCAGGAAGGAGCCCUUCGGGGUGUAAACUGCUGUCGUGUAGGGAGAAGGGUACUAAGGUGAACAAUCUUAGUACUUGACGGUACUACAGGAGGAAGCCCAGGCUAACCUCGUGCCAGCAGCCGCGGUAAAGCUACGU